This 1188-nucleotide long non-coding RNA is filed under the name Equus asinus (donkey). RNAcentral's name for it is "lncRNA (ENSEASG00005023968.1)". The record is from RNAcentral. Lineage: Eukaryota; Metazoa; Chordata; Mammalia; Perissodactyla; Equidae.
AGGGAAUGCUUGGCCCCUCUGGCCAGCGGUGAAAUGCCAGGUACCCCCGAGGCCCUGGCCAAGUUCUCACUCUCUCUGCCUCUCUCAGGGCUGUGACCUUGAGACGGGUUGCAUCUGCCCAGCUCCAGCUGGUUCAGAUUUCAGGGCCAACAGGUGCUUCCUUCCCUUUACCUCAAACCGGUGUCGCAAACCACUCGGCCAAGUCACAGAGCAUCCAAACAUCAGCCACCCACAGAUACGUUCUCCUUGGUUUUGGAGUGCGCAUCUGGACUCUCUGGAUCCAAGGCACGUCGGGGCCCAGGGAAUUCACAGGAACCCGGAGUGUGGUGACCCCUGAAUGGAGGGUCCAUGCUGACAGCCGUCAUCAAUGAAAACUGAAAGACAUGGUGUGGUGACUCUCAGUCUGUAACACGAGAGGGUCAACAUUCCUACCCUCCCCUACAGCCCACUGGCCUAUAUAACUGCUUCGAGAUUCUGUGCCCCCCUGAAGAUGGUUCUUUUGGACGUGAGUCUGCCAUCUGCCCUCCUGCUAGCGAGCUGUAAUAAAAUGUCCUGUCUCUGCCACCAUCUUGCCUCUUGACAACUGGCUUUUGUCUCGUGGUGAGCAUACCGUGCCCUUUGUGCGGUGAUAGAAAUAUGGCGACUGUGAAGGGGCAAUAAAUCCUGCUUGUGGCCAGCCGACCUCGGAUGGGCAACCUGUCAGGUAAGACCCUCGCGGCUGCCGAGGCUCCAUUUGUCCUGGGAACCUGCCCUUCCUGCUCUCCUGUGCGGACGCCGGCUGCCUGCUAACGCUCCCUACGGUGGAAAGAGAACCGGCUACUUCUGGUGGGUCCACGGGCUCACAUCUGGAGUAGGGUAAGUCGAGAACACCACCGAGAACUUUCCUUCCCCCCAUCUGGGGUACCCUCUUUGAGAGGGGGAACCAUCUGGUUCCCUGCUGGAGUGGGAAGAGGAAUGGGACUUCAUCUGAAACCUAGGAACAGGUUCACUGGCGUCUGUGUAGCUCCAGGAUCAAGCGUCUUUGGGUGAGUGACCUCGUUGAAAUGCUCCUGCGCCUUAAAUUGUCUAGUAUCUCAUCAGGACAGUGGGUUAGAGGCCCCACUGUGAGAUGUGGCUGCUGGUUAAAGUCCCAAGGCCAGGAUUGUGGGAGAAAAUAUAAAGGGGUUGCAGCCACUGGGGCACUCAAAG